This 111-nucleotide small RNA is filed under the name Marmota monax (woodchuck). Lineage: Eukaryota; Metazoa; Chordata; Mammalia; Rodentia; Sciuridae. The record is from RNAcentral.
GCCAGGCAUGGUGGCGCACGCCUGAAAUCCCAGCAGCUUGGGAGGCUGAGGCAGGAGGAUCGAGAGUCAAAGCCGUGAGGCUCUGAGCAACUCAGUGAGACUUUGUCUCUG